CUUUCUUUGACUAUGUUGCUGUUGUUGGUUGCAGUGAUGACUUUUUCAGGUUGACAUAAAAAGAAUUAAAUAGAACAUCACAGCAAAUUGUCAUACAUGUUGUUUUGUGUAACUAUGAACAUUGUUAUUGGCUGUUUUAAACUGUAAAAUUGUUUUAUUUAUUCCUACAGCUGUCAUUGCCAUUUACUCUGUGAUCAAAAUUGCAUGGUGGAGAAAGAAACUACAUUUUAUAAGUUUAGCAUGUUUUUCUCAUUGUUUAAUUUUCUUAUUCAAAGGAUAUAAUAUUUAUAAAUAGGUAACAGAUGAACAAUGACUCCACUGAACUGCAUAUAUCUUCUGAUAUUACUUUUGGUAGAAAGGGGAGGUAACUCUCAUAAAUUGUUUGCUUGGACAGCUUUAUGUUUUUCUUUUCUUUUAAGUACAUCCAGAGUAUAAGAAUAUUUUUAAAAUUAAAUACCUUUGAGCUUUGAUAUAGACAUACAAUACCGCCCAAAAGCAAAUUUAGUAUGUGAAGGCGCCUAGAGAACAUGGAGAGUAAUUGAAGAGAGGGUGAAACCAGUGUGACGUCUACAGCUGGGGUGGCCAUCCUCUGAUGCGCAAGGCUACAGGUCGUCCGAGCUUUCAGUGAACAUAGUUCAGCCAGCGUGGUGAAAUGCAGACGGCCUUGCCUUACUUUUCCCGGCAAGGUGUUUGACCUUGUUUGCUCAGUGAUCAGAAGCUAAACACAUGAUUAGGUUCACCAGUUAUAUAGACCUGCAUUCACGCAUGAGAGGUGGCGCAUGCGAUGGUAUAGGCCCACUCAUACUCUUUCUUUUAUCAAACGCUAUUUUUUCUAAUGACAUUCUUAGUGAAAUAAACCAUAAAGUGAUGAAAUCUUAACAA
This is a long non-coding RNA of Liolophura sinensis, 882 nucleotides long. RefSeq lists it as uncharacterized. The transcript is spliced from 2 exons. The record is from RefSeq and is a predicted model, not a curated record. Lineage: Eukaryota; Metazoa; Mollusca; Polyplacophora; Chitonida; Chitonidae.